CCUGGAAAAAAAAAGCAGAAUAUGCUAAGAAAGCUGUCAACAUUUCUGUCUUCAUUGGAUUCCAUGGACAAAAUUUCCUCUGCUAGGAUUUCAAUUCUCUAUACUGAGGUUAGAUCGAAGACAAAGGAAACCAGUAAAAUGGAAGUCUUUUACAUGCUUUUUUCCCCCCCCCUAAUUUUUCCUUACUGUUUCUUUCAAAAGUGUGUCUCAAUGAUUUGUUGAUCUGUGUUUGCUUGCAUUCUAGGGAAAAAUUUUGUGCUGACUUGUUUGUUAUAUUUUCUUAGAACCCAUAUGUGGUGUCACCUUCUGUUAUAUUGUUUCUGUAAUCAUGUAGGGCAAAAUACCUUUAAGAUUCCUGCUGCCAGGAUAAAGUAGAUCUUUUCUGAGCUAAAAUCUAUGCUACUGACAGUUACUUUUAAGCAACAUUACUAUGGUUCAAGGCUCUCCAUGUUAAUGUUGACUCUGCAGUUAGAGAAUUCAUUAGAUAUGCUUUAUGAAAUGGCAUGGACUGCUUUUGUGAUUCCAUGCUCAGCUCUAGAGCAGAGAACAAAGUAAUGUUAGCAACAAGUUUAAACAAAGCCUCAUGGAGUAGAUUCAAACUGAAAAGACCCUUUCAAAACAGAUAGUGCAUUAGGGAAGGGCUAGGUUAUAUGUGGAGUUUGGGUCUAAACCUGUGGUCCAGUCCAAACUUCCAGUCUUCUGCCCAAACAUCUGGACAUGAGUUGAUAUUUGCCUCUUUGGCAAGAUGUUCAUUUAUGAUUCUGACUUUUUUUU
This is a long non-coding RNA of Cygnus olor (mute swan), 774 nucleotides long. RefSeq lists it as uncharacterized. NCBI's taxonomy places the organism in Eukaryota, Metazoa, Chordata, Aves, Anseriformes, Anatidae. The record is from RefSeq and is a predicted model, not a curated record. The transcript has 2 exons.